AUUGAACGCUGGCGGCAGGCCUAACACAUGCAAGUCGAGCGGAUGAAGGGAGCUUGCUCCUGGAUUCAGCGGCGGACGGGUGAGUAAUGCCUAGGAAUCUGCCUGGUAGUGGGGGAUAACGUCCGGAAACGGGCGCUAAUACCGCAUACGUCCUGAGGGAGAAAGUGGGGGAUCUUCGGACCUCACGCUAUCAGAUGAGCCUAGGUCGGAUUAGCUAGUUGGUGGGGUAAAGGCCUACCAAGGCGACGAUCCGUAACUGGUCUGAGAGGAUGAUCAGUCACACUGGAACUGAGACACGGUCCAGACUCCUACGGGAGGCAGCAGUGGGGAAUAUUUGACAAUGGGCGAAAGCCUGAUCCAGCCAUGCCGCGUGUGUGAAGAAGGUCUUCGGAUUGUAAAGCACUUUAAGUUGGGAGGAAGGGCAGUAAGUUAAUACCUUGCUGUUUUGACGUUACCAACAGAAUAAGCACCGGCUAACUUCGUG
Molecule: ribosomal RNA, 484 nt
Filed under: uncultured bacterium
Lineage: Bacteria
Description: partial 16S ribosomal RNA
Rfam family: Bacterial small subunit ribosomal RNA
Source: RNAcentral